Molecule: ribosomal RNA, 255 nt
Filed under: uncultured Eubacteriales bacterium
Lineage: Bacteria; Bacillati; Bacillota; Clostridia; Eubacteriales
Description: uncultured Clostridiales bacterium partial 16S ribosomal RNA
Rfam family: Bacterial small subunit ribosomal RNA
Source: RNAcentral
UCAUGAUCAGCGGCGGACGGGUGAGUAACACGUGAGCAACCUGCCUUUCAGAGUGGGACAACAGUUGGAAACGACUGCUAAUACCGCAUAAUAUUGCCGGUCGGCAUCGGCUGGCAAUCAAAGGAGCAAUCCGCUGAAAGAUGGGCUCGCGUCUGAUUAGAUAGUUGGUGAGGUAACGGCCCACCAAGUCGACGAUCAGUAGCCGGACUGAGAGGUUGAUCGGCCACAUUGGGACUGAGACACGGCCCAGACUCC